Molecule: ribosomal RNA, 486 nt
Filed under: uncultured bacterium
Lineage: Bacteria
Description: bacterial SSU rRNA
Rfam family: Bacterial small subunit ribosomal RNA
Source: RNAcentral
AUUGAACGCUGGCGGCGUGCCUAACACAUGCAAGUCGAGCGGCAGCGCGGGAGCAAUCCUGGCGGCGAGCGGCGGACGGGUGAGUAACGCUUGGGAAUCUGCCUGUUAGUGGGGGACAACCCGGGGAAACUCGGGCUAAUACCGCAUACGCACUACGGUGGAAAGCCGGGGACCGCAAGGCCUGGCGCUAACAGAUGAGCCCAAGUCGGAUUAGCUAGUUGGUAGGGUAACGGCCUACCAAGGCGACGAUCCGUAACUGGUCUGAGAGGACGACCAGUCACACCGGAACUGAGACACGGUCCGGACUCCUACGGGAGGCAGCAGUGGGGAAUAUUGGACAAUGGGGGAAACCCUGAUCCAGCGACGCCGCGUGGGUGAAGAAGGCCUGCGGGUUGUAAAGCCCUUUCAGUGGGGAAGAAAGCCUCGACCUAAUACGUUGGGUCUUGACGUAACCCAUAGAAGAAGCACCGGCUAACUCUGUGCCAG